CAGCACCUCAAGUGGUCAGGAUGAUUAUUGGGCCUAAAGCAUCCGUAGCCAGCUCUGUAAGUUUUCGGUUAAAUCUAUGCGCUCAACGUAUGGGCUGCCGAAAAUACUGUAGAGAUAGGGAGUGGGAGAGGUAGACGGUACUCGGUAGGAAGGGGUAAAAUCCUUUGAUCUAUCGAUGACCACCUGUGGCGAAGGCGGUCUACCAGAACACGUUCGACGGUGAGGGAUGAAAGCUGGGGGAGCAAACCGGAUUAGAUACCCGGGUAGUCCCAGCCGUAAACGAUGCAGACUCGAUGAUGCAUUGGCAUAUAGCCAGUGCAGUGUCGCAGGGAAGCCGUUAAGUCUGCCGCCUGGGAAGUACGUACGCAAGUAUGAAACUUAAAGGAAUUGGCGGGGGAGCACCACAAGGGGUGAAGCCUGCGGUUCAAUUGGAGUCAACGCCAGAAAUCUUACCCGGAGAGACAGCAGAAUGAAGGUCAAGCUGAAGACUUUACCAGACAAGCUGAGAGGUGGUGCAUGGCCGUCGCCAGCUCGUGCCGUGAGAUGUCCUGUUAAGUCAGGUAACGAGCGAGAUCCCUGCCGCUAGUUGCUAUCAUUAUUCUCAGGAAUAGUGGGGCGAAUUAGUGGGACUGCCGUUGUUAAAACGGAGGAAGGAAGGGGCUACGGCAGGUCAGUAUGCCCCGAAACUCUGGGGCCACACGCGGGCUGCAAUGGUAGCGACAAUGAAUUCCAAACUCGAAAGAGAGUGGCAAUCCCUAAACGCUACCACAGUUAUGACUGAGGGCUGCAACUCGCCCUCACGAAUAUGGAAUCCCUAGUAACCGCGUGUCAUUACCGCGCGGUGAAUACGUCCCUGCUCCUU
This 862-nucleotide ribosomal RNA is filed under the name uncultured organism. RNAcentral describes it as "bacterial SSU rRNA". It matches the Rfam family "Archaeal small subunit ribosomal RNA", at positions 477 to 1338 of the family's 1478-position model. The record is from RNAcentral.